Molecule: ribosomal RNA, 445 nt
Filed under: uncultured bacterium
Lineage: Bacteria
Description: partial 16S ribosomal RNA
Rfam family: Bacterial small subunit ribosomal RNA
Source: RNAcentral
GUGAGGAAUAUUGGUCAAUGGGCGAGAGCCUGAACCAGCCAAGUCGCGUGAAGGAAGAAGGAUCUAUGGUUCGUAAACUUCUUUUGCAGGGGAAUAAAGUGCGGGACGUGUCCUGUUUUGUAUGUACCCUGAGAAUAAGGAUCGGCUAACUCCGUGCCAGCAGCCGCGGUAAUACGGAGGAUCCGAGCGUUAUCCGGAUUUAUUGGGUUUAAAGGGUGCGUAGGUGGUUUGAUAAGUCAGCGGUGAAAGUUUGCAGCUUAACUGUAAAAAUGCCGUUGAAACUGUCGGACUUGAGUGUAAAUGAGGUAGGCGGAAUGCGUGGUGUAGCGGUGAAAUGCAUAGAUAUCACGCAGAACUCCGAUUGCGAAGGCAGCUUACUAAGCUACAACUGACACUGAAGCACGAAAGCGUGGCGAUCAAACAGGAUUAGAAACCCUUGUAGUCC